CGCCUGUUUAUCAAAAACAUGUCUUUUUGUUAAUUAUUUGAAGUCUGGCCUGCUCCAUGAUUAAUUAAAUAGCCGCAGUAUAUUGACUGUGCAAAGGUAGCAUAAUCAUUAGUUUUUUAAUUGAAAGCUGGUAUGAAUGGUCGGAUGAGGAAGAUUCUGUCUCAUUAUAAUUUUAAUUGAAUUUUAUUUUUAAGUCAAAAAGCUUAAAUUUUAUAGAAAGACGAGAAGACCCUAUAGAGUUUAAUAGGUUUAUGUUGUAAUGAAUUUAGGAUUAUAUAUUUAUUAUGGCGUACACUAUUUUGUUGGGGUGACAUAGAAUUUGAGUUAACUUCUUUAUAUGUUUACACUGAUUAGUGAGUACUGGAUCCUGAAGUUUGGAUUUUAAGACUAAAUUACCUUAGGGAUAACAGCGUAAUUCUUUUGGAGAGUUCUAAUCAAUAAAAGGGAUUGCGACCUCGAUGUUGGAUUAAAGUUAAAUUUUGGUGUAGAAGCUAGAAUUUUGAGUCUGUUCGACUUUUAAAACUUUACGUGAUCUGAGUUAAGACCGG
This 548-nucleotide ribosomal RNA is filed under the name Cerocoma macedonica. RNAcentral describes it as "partial 16S ribosomal RNA". It matches the Rfam family "Bacterial large subunit ribosomal RNA", at positions 1797 to 2619 of the family's 2925-position model. The record is from RNAcentral. Lineage: Eukaryota; Metazoa; Arthropoda; Insecta; Coleoptera; Meloidae.